This 488-nucleotide ribosomal RNA is filed under the name uncultured bacterium. RNAcentral describes it as "bacterial SSU rRNA". It matches the Rfam family "Bacterial small subunit ribosomal RNA", at positions 28 to 507 of the family's 1533-position model. The record is from RNAcentral.
GAUGAACGCUAGCGGCAGGCCUAACACAUGCAAGUCGAGGGGCAUCAGGGGUAGCAAUACCUGCUGGCGACCGGCGCACGGGUGAGUAACGCGUAUGCAACCUGCCCGCCACAGGGGGAUAGCCCGCCGAAAGGCGGAUUAAUACCCCCAUCGCCCCGUUGUUCGGCAUCGGACGACGGGUAAAGGAGCAAUCCGGUGGCGGAUGGGCAUGCGUGCCAUUAGCUAGUUGGCGGGGUAACAGCCCACCAAGGCGACGAUGGCUAGGGGGUCUGAGAGGAUGGUCCCCCACACUGGUACUGAGACACGGACCAGACUCCUACGGGAGGCAGCAGUGAGGAAUAUUGGUCAAUGGGCGGAAGCCUGAACCAGCCAUGCCGCGUGCAGGAAGACGGCCCUACGGGUUGUAAACUGCUUUUCCGGGGGGAAGAAUAAUCCCGACGUGUCGGGAGACGACGGUACCCCGGGAAUAAGGAUCGGCUAACUCCGUG